GUCUGGUCGUCCUGGAUGCAAGAAGGUUAGAGAGGUUGAGUUAAUGUUUGAGGCCAUCAUUCAUUACAUGCUCCACAACAUGGAUUCUUAACUAGCAAUCUGAGGACUUUUCAACCACAAGGUAAGGCCUACUGCCCACCCCUUUCUGUAGGAUCUGGGCAAACCGAACGGUGAAAGCAAUCCACACAGCUAGAGAGGCAAUUUGCAGUGCGGGAAUCUAGUCAGUUUCCUGGCUUCUCCAUGCACUUGUCUCAAUAUAGUUUCACGAAGUGAUGCACCUGCGCAGUGAACUGUGCCUUCUGCUGCUCGAGCACCACCAGGCGUUGUAACUCAGCUUCACCAAGCUCUGCCAAUAUCAGCGUCAGGCGCUUCGCUAUGGUACGCAUGCGUGGUCCUGAAAGCAACUUUUGCUCUUUAUCAUCAACUCUAAGAUACUCAGGGGCUUCUAUCAAUGAUGAGACACAUCUGCAGAAACUCAUAUUCCUUCCACAGGAUCACAUGAUCCUUGUCCAAGGGUGAACACACAGAAAGAACAUUGUUCAAGCAAACCAUACCAAUCCUGACCAGAGAGGACAGAAAGAAACUGACUCUCAGGAGAGAGGGCCCAAGUACUUUAAUGCAUUUUUUGAAAUUAUUAUAAAUUAUUUUACAACAUCCACAGCAAAUGAAACUAAUUAAAAGUAUUUUGUAAUACACAUGUCCCCAGAAAUAUUUUGUGAAGUUAAAAGGAAAAAAUG
Molecule: long non-coding RNA, 737 nt
Filed under: Mus pahari (shrew mouse)
Lineage: Eukaryota; Metazoa; Chordata; Mammalia; Rodentia; Muridae
Description: lncRNA (MGP_PahariEiJ_G0002874.1)
Source: RNAcentral